AUGUUCACGGGACUCAGAGUUGAAGGCUCCUCUCCCUACCGAGCAGCUCCGCGCGCGGCCCCGCGAGAGAGCCCGGCGCAACUACUUUCUUCCCUUUCCUUUCUUUCUUUCUUCUUCUCUUUUUUUCCCCUGCUGGGUAGUGGCGGCGGCGGGGUGGGGGAGACUUUGAAUGACCGAGCUCGCGUCCACCUUUCUCUUCAUGUCGACGUCCCUGGAAACAGUCACACGGAUGCCAUGGUUACUUCUGCCACGGUGGAAACUUUAACGGUCGCCUCCCCGAGGAUGCCUUCCCUGCGCUCCAUCUCUGUCCGAUCCCGUCCUGGAAUUGUCUUCUCCAUCUGGUGUUUUUGUGCUCACGAGAAUGCAAGCACCUCGAGAACAGGGACUGUCUCUUCUUUCUGCUGUGCGAUUAUCAACACCAGUGAUAGCAGGCAUUCAGUAAACAUAUUUUAUUAUGUUAGGUGUGUGUUUAAGGGGCACCUGGGUGGCUCAGUCGGUAAAGCAUCCGACUCCUGCUUUCAGCUUAGAUCAUGAUCUCAGGGUUGUGGGAUCGAGCCCUGUGUUGGGCUCCCAGCUCAGUGCGGGGUCCGCUUCAGAUCCUCUGUCCCGUGACUUCUGCCCCUCCCGCUCGUGCUCUUGCUCUCUCUCUCAAAUAAAUAAGUAAAUAUUAAAAAAAUAAACAAAUAAAGAAGUGUUUUAAGAC
This 703-nucleotide long non-coding RNA is filed under the name Mustela putorius furo (domestic ferret). RNAcentral describes it as "lncRNA (ENSMPUG00000030106.1)". The record is from RNAcentral. Lineage: Eukaryota; Metazoa; Chordata; Mammalia; Carnivora; Mustelidae.